CCUACGGGUGGCAGCAGUGGGGAAUAUUGGACAAUGGGCGAAAGCCUGAUCCAGCCAUGCCGCGUGUGUGAAGAAGGCCUUCGGGUUGUAAAGCACUUUCAGUGGGGAAGAAAGCCUUGGGGCUAAUACCCUCGAGGAAGGACAUCACCCACAGAAGAAGCACCGGCUAACUCCGUGCCACGCAGCCGCGGUAAUACGGAGGGUGCGAGCGUUAAUCGGAAUUACUGGGCGUAAAGCGCGCGUAGGCGGUCUGAUAAGCCGGUUGUGAAAGCCCCGGGCUCAACCUGGGAACGGCAUCCGGAACUGUCAGGGUAGAGGGCAGGAGAGGAAGGUAGAAUUCCCGGUGUAGCGGUGAAAUGCGUAGAGAUCGGGAGGAAUACCAGUGGCGAAGGCGGCCUUCUGGACUGACACUGACGCUGAGGUGCGAAAGCGUGGGUAGCAAACAGGAUUAGAUACCCGAGUAGUC
This 466-nucleotide ribosomal RNA is filed under the name Vreelandella stevensii. RNAcentral describes it as "partial 16S ribosomal RNA". It matches the Rfam family "Bacterial small subunit ribosomal RNA", at positions 338 to 795 of the family's 1533-position model. Lineage: Bacteria; Pseudomonadati; Pseudomonadota; Gammaproteobacteria; Oceanospirillales; Halomonadaceae. The record is from RNAcentral.